Kyrpidia tusciae DSM 2912 is the source of this 111-nucleotide non-coding RNA. Lineage: Bacteria; Bacillati; Bacillota; Bacilli; Caryophanales; Alicyclobacillaceae. The record is from Rfam.
AUAGAGAACUCCUAGGGUUCCGCGUUUGGCAUGAAAGAUGACAAACGGACCGGUCCGAGAGGAGUUCGCGCCGAAGCCGGCGUCACACGGAGGGAUAAAAGCCCGGGAGGU